UUCAAAGAACAACGUGUAACAGCAACGCAAAUCUAUUAAGUCCUUUACGUAGCUUGUUUUCACGGAGCUAACUUAAUAACUCACGUCGAAAUUAGGUUUACCUACGGCCUUGUACCCCUUGUCCACCUUGUUGCGCCAUUCCUUGCCCACCAAAGGUUAUCGUUGCGUGUACACCACCACCGCCACCCUGUCCACCGCCCUGUCCAACUGUGGCGUUCGUUUGCACCAAGAAAAUGGUCCCCUGUAUGCCCUGUCCACCGCCUACUCCGCCGCCUUGCUCCCCUUGUCGUGCAGUUUGCCUGUCUCAUCCCCCCUGUUAACUGCAGGCAAGAGUUGGAAGGUUUCUUCGGAUCUGACAGUUAGGCGUGUGAGAUCUAACGAGAACGACGAAUAUAUACGUGGAUUUGACUUUUCAUACGAAAAUAGGAAAAUAUCAGGUACAGAGAGAUAUAAUUUUCAAAGAAAAUUUGCGAGUUAAGAUAAAAAUAUAAGAUACAUGGAACUGUUUCAACGUUGAAGAAAUCCUGAUCAGGUAAAACGAAUUAAGACACAAGUUCCUAAUUAUGAUCGAUUUACUGUCUCGGAAGUGGCACAAAACUUACGACGAAGAGAUCCCGAUUGCUUGUAAUCUCGGAUUGAACUGUACUCGAAUGCGUCUUCCAACAAACUUUUAUUUCUCAAUUGAGGAAUUCGAUGAUCAUCGCAACCGAAUUAAGAAUUACCAAGAAUUUAAGUGACUUACCGAUUUAGACGCCACCUUGUUAGGUUGUUCAUUAGAAUGACGAAUUAUUAAAAUAACGAGGAUUAUUCUUGUGAUAGAGUUCGAGA
RNAcentral lists this unclassified non-coding RNA (828 nucleotides) under Bombus terrestris (buff-tailed bumblebee). RNAcentral's name for it is "misc RNA ENSBTSG00005022554.1". The record is from RNAcentral. Lineage: Eukaryota; Metazoa; Arthropoda; Insecta; Hymenoptera; Apidae.